CAAAGGGAGAGGAUAUUAACAUGAAGCUAAAAGAGGAGAGUCUGCAGGAUGAACCUCCAUUCACCAUAGAGCAAGAGUCUUUGGAGAAGGAAGAAUAUCCAGAGGAAGAAGAGUCUCUGGAGGAGGAAGAAUUUCCAGAGGAGGAAGAGUUUCUGGAGGAGGAAGAAUAUCCAGAAGAGGAAGAGUCUCUGGAGGAAGAUAUGUUUUUGGAGGGAGAAAAUUAUCUGAAAGGAAAAGAGGAUCUUUUUAAAGAAGAGGAUUUGAAGGAGAAAAUGCAUGUGGAAGAAAAAGAGUAUCCUUUUGAAAAGUAUCUGGAACAAAAAUUUAAGGAGUUAUUCAACAGGAAUUCUGACUACUCUUGAUGGAAGGAGCUCAGCUGCCAGUACUUUUCAGGAAAGCAAGUCUAUUACCAUCCCGCAUAUCUUCACUACCCCUGUUCCUGCCUCUGAGCCUGCCAUGGAGUUUGCCCUGGAGUUGUCUUCCUGCUGCCUGAUGGUUCCUACGUCUUCCCUAAGACACCAGGCUAGUCAGACAGAAUGGACCUAUGAGGGAAAAUCUUCAAUAUCAAAACUGAAAACAGAUCAAGGAAUCUCAAUACUAUCCACUAUGAAGUCUGAUUUGGAAGUUGCCUCUGAAAUGGAGCAAGAUGAAGAUGAAGAUGGAGAUGAUGGACUCAGUGGAACAGUACUUUGACAGACUGACGUCACCAACCACCAGGAGCACAUACCCUUGCACCCUUAUGUCGGCCGCUGAAACUGACCCUUUCUUCCUACCGUAUCAGCACCCCCAAGUUGAAUUGUAG
Molecule: long non-coding RNA, 802 nt
Organism: Heterocephalus glaber (naked mole-rat)
Lineage: Eukaryota; Metazoa; Chordata; Mammalia; Rodentia; Bathyergidae
Source: Ensembl